CCGUCCGUCGAAAGGCGGAUUUCCUAGCAAUAGGACGAGUAUACAGGUGCUGCAUGGCUGUCGUCAGCUCGUGCCGUGAGGUGUUCGGUUAAGUCCGGCAACGAGCGCAACCCAUAUCAUUAGUUGCAAACAGUUCGGCUGAGCACUCUAAUGAGACUGCCCGUGUUAAGCGGGAGGAAGGCGUGGAUGACGUCAAGUCCGUAUGGCCUUUAUAUCUAGGGCUGCACACGUGCUACAAUGACCGGUAUAAUGGGUCGCAAUACCGCAAGGUGGAGCAAAUCCUCAAAACCGGUCCCAGUUCGGAUUGCAGUCUGCAACUCGACUGCAUGAAGUUGGAAUCGCUAGUAAAGGCGUAUCAGCUACGACGCCUUGAAUACGUUCCCGGGCCUUGUACACACCGCCCGUCACAUCAUGGAAGCUGAUUGCACCCGAAGUCAUACAAAAUAUGCCUAAGGUGUGGUCAGUGACUGGGAUGAAGUCGUAACAAGGUAACCGUA
This 497-nucleotide ribosomal RNA is filed under the name uncultured bacterium. Its description in RNAcentral is "bacterial SSU rRNA". It matches the Rfam family "Bacterial small subunit ribosomal RNA", at positions 994 to 1504 of the family's 1533-position model. The record is from RNAcentral.